GUAGAGGGGUGAACAUUGUUGAGUUUGAUUAAUUCUGAAUUACUAGUAUGGCUGAAGAUCUUGCACAGUGAUAAGUUCAUUUAGGUGGCAUUCAUAAAGUGUGCUCUUCAGAUCCUGAGCUCCUCAGAUUUUUAAUAGGUGUUAUACCACCAAAGGAUUCAUAGUCAAAGGAAUUUGGGAAACAUUAUUUGAAACAAAGAGCUUUUCAACAAAUCCAACAAGAAUAUUCUCUCUGCUAGGAUAGACCUGGAGGCUACUAUCUGCAUGAACCGGCUCUUCCUCAGUCAGUCACAUUGCUCAAUAAACUCACCCUAUUAGAGGAAGUCUCAAAUGACAUGACGGUGAAAAUAUUUGGAAGGCAGCUAUGCUCAUCACUAUACCACCAACGCUAAAGAUACACUGCAUAUCAUAGAAGCCCUACAACCAGACUUACAUCAGCUAAGAAGUUUGGGAUAUCACUACAACAGCCUUUCCAGGAGAAGAAAGGGUUACAAUACAGAGGAAAUCUGGUUUCAGAACAAUGGGGAACACAUAUAGAAUAGUGGUUAAGAGCUUGGGUUCUGGAGGUAGUCAAAUCCGGGUUUUAUUCCUGGGUCUGCCACUGGUUAGGGUAACCCAGGACCACCUACCUUCUCUAAUUCUCAGUUUUAGCAACUGCAAAAUAAGGAAAACAAUGUCUUCUUUAUAGCAUAUAGAUGAAAUGAACUGAUACAGUAAAGCAUCUGCACAGUGCCUGCCACCAAAGUGCUCAAUAAAUAGUAACAGUUAAUAUUAUUAAAUGGAAGUUAUUAUAUAUUCCCAGAUGUUAUAUAAUGGAAAAACAGAGAUUUUAACUUUUAAUGGCAUUUUAAGACUACAGUCUGGUUAUAAUGUACUGAGGAAUACUUUUUCACUGUAAGAACAAAUUGCCUUAGAUGAUUUACUUCCUGUCUUGACUUCUAGUUUUCAUGGAUGAAUUAUUAUAGAUUUGUGCAAAUUUCAAGCAAUAUUGACUAAGCUUUUUAUUUUUAAAAGUUCAUUACUUUACUGAUACAUUUAUAUAAAUAUACAUAACAUUUUAGAUAAUGCAUAAAUGUGAUCAUAUACAUGUUUUCAUAGUGAAGUUUUUUUUAAAUAUCUCUCUCCCCCCUCUUGAGCUUCUUUACACCCCAUUCCCAUAGUAGCCCGUGUUAAUAGCCUAAUAUUUAUCCAUCCAUUUUUUUCUCUUGAUUUAUACAAUUCUGUGCAAACCUAUUAAUUAAUAUACUUAUAUACCUAUGCAAAUACAGGGUUUUUUGAUUAUUAAUUUAAAAAAUGAGACCAUAUUCUCAAGCAUGUUGCUUUUUUCACCCAGCAAUGCCCAGAGGAACAAUUCACUUGGGUAUAAUGUGAAUUCAUAUUUUAAUGGCAAUACAAUAUUCUAUGAUUUAGAUAUAACAUUAUGUAUUCAGCAA
This is a long non-coding RNA of Lagenorhynchus albirostris (white-beaked dolphin), 1433 nucleotides long. RefSeq lists it as uncharacterized. The record is from RefSeq and is a predicted model, not a curated record. Lineage: Eukaryota; Metazoa; Chordata; Mammalia; Artiodactyla; Delphinidae. The transcript is spliced from 4 exons.